AGCAGCCGCGGUAAUUCCAGCUCCAAUAGCGUAUAUUAAGGUUGUUGCAGUUAAAAAGCUCGUAGUUGAAUUUCGGGAUCAGUUUGUUGGUCGUGCUUCGGUACGUACUGUCAUUACUGGUUUCUACCUUCUGAAGAACCUUGAUGUCAUUAAUUUGGUGUCUUGGGGAAUCAGGACUGUUACUUUGAAAAAAUUAGAGUGUUUAAAGCAAGCAUACGCUUGAAUACAUUAGCAUGGAAUAAUGAAAUAGGACGUUUGAUUCUAUUUUGUUGGUUUCUAGGAUCGACGUAAUGAUUAAUAGGGAUAGUUGGGGGCAUUAGUAUUCAAUUGUCAGAGGUGAAAUUCUUGGAUUUAUUGAAGACUAACUACUGCGAAAGCAUUUGCCAAGGAUGUUUUCAUUAAUCAAGAACGAAAGUUAGGGGAUCGAAGACGAUCAGAUACCGUCGUAGUCUUAACCAUAAACUAUGCCGACUAGGGAUCGGAUGAUGUUAUUUUUAAUGACUCAUUCGGCGCCUUACGG
Molecule: ribosomal RNA, 520 nt
Filed under: uncultured Glomus
Lineage: Eukaryota; Fungi; Glomeromycota; Glomeromycetes; Glomerales; Glomeraceae
Description: SSU rRNA
Rfam family: Eukaryotic small subunit ribosomal RNA
Source: RNAcentral